RNAcentral lists this unclassified non-coding RNA (236 nucleotides) under Hevea brasiliensis (rubber tree). Lineage: Eukaryota; Viridiplantae; Streptophyta; Magnoliopsida; Malpighiales; Euphorbiaceae. The record is from RNAcentral.
GUCGGUGGCAGAGCUAACAUGGCAGAACGGUCAAUUGGCUCUGCAAGGCCUUAGCCAUCAAGUUGUCACCAAGCCCGUCCCAAAGUACCCUUCUGCUGCUGCCGCCACUUGGGAGAAGACCGGACCAAGCGGCACACUCGAGUCCAUCAUCAACCAAGCUACUCGCUCCCACCUCCUCUCAAAAGAUCUCCCAUCUUUGACAAAUUCAGUCACAGCUGACGCCAUUGUCCCUUGCU